Diorhabda carinulata is the source of this 5236-nucleotide RNA transcript. It is a transcript of the gene named TGF-beta-activated kinase 1 and MAP3K7-binding protein 2, with no coding region annotated. The transcript has 6 exons. The record is from RefSeq and is a predicted model, not a curated record. NCBI's taxonomy places the organism in Eukaryota, Metazoa, Arthropoda, Insecta, Coleoptera, Chrysomelidae.
CGUGACGUUUCAUUAUGUUCUAUUUGUGUUCCUAUCUCAGUUUUCCACAACAUUAUGAUAUAAAGGUUGCCAUGUAAAUUUUUAAAAUACAUAAUAAUGUUUUAAGUUCUCGUGAUAAAUCUCGUUUUUUGUGCGUUUAUAUUUGUGCUGUGUUAUUGAAAUUUUAGUGUCCAGUGUCGUUUUCAGUGCUUAGUUAACUCACAAACAGCUUGAGUGCCUAUAUGAUUUUGAUGAACCAGAAUGGCCGGCCAUGUUCGCCGGGAACAAACGAAAGUCGUCAAACGUCAAAGUUAUGCAGCUGUUCCAUGAGCUAAAACAACAAUUCCCUACCAUUCCUGAUCAUAUUGUAACGUCCUGCAUAACUUCCUACAUCCAGUCAAGUGCUCAAGAAAAGAAUAUCGUAGAGUAUUUAGAAACAACUCUAGCAGACAGCAACGUAGGGCAGAUGGGACGAUCUUCUCAACAAUCGGAAUUACCUCCUCUAGAUAUUUCUCCUAACCCGCAAAUUGAAAACGUUUCGGCAAAAGCAAACCUGAAUACCGAUCGAACCCAUACCGAAAUGGACGAAAGUGGAAGUGAUGUUACUAAUCGAAAUACGAGUGAGAAAACAGAAACGACCACCAGAUCCGUAGCAAAACGACCUAAUUACCUUAAUAUAAAACCUAGUAUCAGUGAUAAAACAAGUGAAAAGAAAAAAACGUUCAAUAUUCAACUCUCCGAAAAGUGCAAAGACGUCCAUAAACUGCUCAACUACGAAUUAAGUGAAAAACCACCGCGUUCUCCCCUAAGUGCCAAAAGGUUUGCUUCCAAAAACUCUCCAACCAAACCGGAAAAACACCCCGAAGCCCAUAAACGUCCUAGCUUAGAGCCAACCGUUAAAAAAGAAACGUGCUCGACACCUACGCAGACAACAGAUACCUUACUAGGAAGUCCGAAUGUGAAUCUUUCAUUAAACGUAAAUUGUUUGGUUGAUGUUGUACGCAGUCCAACGCAACAACGACGUACAACAGCUUUACAAGUAACUCCCGCCCAACCGUGGUUACAAGCAUCUACAUCUCCGAGAAGCUUCACUAGUGUAAACUUAACUCUGAGGCCUCCAGCUUCAACUCCUCAAGAUCCUAUCGACAUUACCUCGCAGAAUUCCAGUUUAACGUAUUCAACAAGUAGUUAUGAUUCACAAAAAGGACUUCAGAGUAGAUUACAGAUCACCGUUGGACCAAGUAAUGGCAGUGUUUCGUCACUACGAAUUAGACCAAAUAGUUACCAUCUCGAAGAGCAACCAGAACAACAAGAAAUAGUUCCUGUUAGAGCUGGAUCUCUUAAUAACCUGACAGUCAACACAGAACCACCUGUAACUUUGAAACAGCAAGCACGAAUAGAGAGAUUGCGGAUAGAACUUAACACCGAAAAAGCCAAAUUAGUGAUAAUGCAACAGGAAAUUAAAGAAUUAGAGAAAAGUAGACUAGAAAGUGAAGUAAAUAUAGAAAUAGAGAGGCAGCUGCUACAGGAGAUAAAACAUCUUAGGUACCAAUGCAACGACUUGGAAUUAGACGGUGAAGCAUUUUAUAAUAACAUAUACACUGGUCAACAUAUAAAUGAAUUCCCCACUCCUCCACCAAGACUUCGACACAACAGCAGAAGACGUUUACCAUAUCAACCGCCUCCUGAUUUCGAAGGUCCGAAAUGGAACUGUGACGUAUGUACAUUCCUCAAUCAUCCCAUCUUGGACAAAUGUGAGCAGUGCGACUUUCCCAGAAUCCUACACGUUUCAGCAUCUCCUGGGGAUAACAUACAUAUUCAUGUUACACCAAGAAUACCAAGACGUAAGAUAUUCAUAAUUAUUUGUUAUUAAUCCAAUUGUUUGUGCAAAACUAACAUUCAACUUUAUGUAUAUCAGCAACAUAUUAUACAAUGUGUUGCCUCCAAAUUACUCCAUUAAAAUGUAUAUUAAAAAUUAUAUAAUAUAUAUCCACCAUACUAUUCAAACAUUUGAUUCAUAUUAAAAUUUAAAAAAGGCAUUAAAUUAUAGAAUAUUUUUUUCUCAUUAAAGUGUUUUGAUGCUUUGAAACUGUUAAAGAACUUACUGAGUUGGGAAGUGGAUGUUAAGAAGGGCGAAACAGCGGAAGUAGUCACUGCUUAGUUUUCACUAGUCCAGUUAUGUCAGUUUAUACCUUUUAUUUCCUGUUUCCAAAUUGUGUUAAGAAAUUAUUUUUUUGUAUAUUUAAAUGGACUUUGGCUGAAUUUUAUCAACCAAGAGAAACAGGCAUCCUGAACUCAUGCAUGAAACAAUUCGUAAAAUGUUACCCACAAUAUGAAUUAAAUUCUGUCAAUAUCACUCGAGACGGAAGCAAAAAAAGCUUAAAAAGCAUGCGCGUUACUGAGAUAUUUUCUCAUUCAAUCAUUUAAUGACUGGGCGGAGAGCGAGUUUUGAAUUGAUAUUAAGCUUAAACUCCUUCAUUUUAUACAAACCAAACAAAGAGAGAGUAGACACAAAAUUAUUUCUCUCUGCCUCAAAGAAAAUAUUAAUACGUAAUUGCAUCUGUGAAAAGUCUGUUUAAAUAAAAUGUCUUUUGUUAUCUGUCAUAAUCAAUGUUCACCAUAAAAAAAAUAGUAUAAAGCCAGACUGAAUCUAUAAUUGGCGCAGGGUGUUGCAAACUUUCUGUGGUUUCACUGUAACCUGGUAAACCGGUUUACCAAUCAAAUGGCCGACGAUAGAGAAUAAUGCAGCCGCAGCUGUACCUGUGCGCCUACCACUAAAUUUAAAAUGUACAAAAAAAUUUAAAACAAAUGAAAAAAAAAAUACAAAAUAUCCCCAAAGCGGAAAGAACCGUGUCGUCGCUUUUCCUCCUUUUAGCCAAUACAGCAAGCACAAUCCCACGCAACCACUAUAAUCCCAGCCCUGCAGAGGAGCAACUUUCGAUAUCAGGGCCAACUCCAACAAACAUUCCGCCUAUAAAAAAUUUCCCUUAUGCUGCCUAAAAAGUUUCCAACAAAUCUCUCUCUCUUAUAAUUGGCCCCAGUCUCUUUCACGCGCAAAGCAAAAGGUUUGAUUUUAUUUAUAUAUCUCCACCUUCGUUGAUGAAACAAAUAAUCUCAAUUAGAAAAAAAUCUAGCAUGCUCUCUCAAACAAUAAAUACACAAAUAAACAAGAAAUCCUAUGUUGAGAACAAUGAAAGACUUCAUAAUAAUGUAAUUAAAAAUUUGUUAAUUAAAUGGAAAAGUAUUUCAAAUGGAAGAAAAGUUGUAUAAGAUAAGUAACAGUUCAAAAACCUUCCAGAAUCGCACAGGUAUGGACGAAGGGUACGAUAUGAAUUAAACAGUUGUAAAUGAAUUGAUGCAUGGCGAGUUGAAAAAUUUAAUAUCAUUUUUGACUGUUAGCAGUUGAUUAUUGAAAAUUUCAACUACUUUUGUUGUGCAAAAUAGUGUAGUAAAAUAAAAUAAAAAUAAAAUUUUAUUACCAAAAGAUUGGUACACGGUUACUUUUCAACAUAAUCACCAAAGAGAUUGAGACGUUUGUAAUACCUGUGGACAAGCUUUUCAAUACCUUCUUCAAAGAACUUUGCCGCCAAUGAACUCAAGUUGAGUACAAAAUACAUCUUGAAACUUGAAAUUCCUUAGACAUAGGCAGUAAUGGUCAAUCUGUGGUUUUCUUUAACCAUUCUGUCAACUCAUGAACCAGGUCAUCUGAAACGACAGAUUUACGUUCUUGGUCCCCUUCAUCAUGCACAUCAUUACAGCCAUCUUUAAACUUUCGACAUCUCGCACAACAUCAUAAUUCAUGAAGUUUUCCCCAUACACACGACUCAUUCUCCGAUUAAUUUCUGCAGCACUAUUCCUUCAGUCUAUAAAAAACGAAUCAUUCUUCGUAAUUCACACUUGACGGGAGUAUCAGUAGUGGCAAAAAUGUUUACGUGGUUGCAGUACAACAUCGACUGGGUUUGUAGUGAGAGCAUCUGCACGGAGCGAUCGGAAAAAAAAUCGGCACUCGUAUUUUUACAUUUCUACUUUUAUUCAUAAAAAUGUAUUACUUAUCGAAACAAUAAGAAUAAUGAACUCUUAUUAUUAGGUUAACCCAAUUUAACGCCUUUAAGUUGCAUUAUGCAUGCGCUUAUCCCUCGAUCAAAACGCCAACCUGCACGCACAGAGUGAAAUAAUUAAGCGCCCGUGAAAUGAACCAUGUAAGAUCGUGAUUUCGACUUACACUUUUUAUAUACAAAGAUGAUUCUCCUUCCGUCUAUUAUCCAUGCUGCAAAGUUUCUUAUUAUUGAAAUCCCUCCAUUUGGGCUUCUCUGUAGUUAAAUUGAUGGGCCCCUUAAAAAAUUUAGAUAUAGGAUCUAACUAGGGCAAACUAUGCCCCUGAUAUUAACAUUUUAUAUAACGUAUGAUAUUCUGCUUAAUCAUGUGGUUAUUCAUGAGGUAUAUUGGAAAUUAUAUAGUUAUUUGAAUCCAUUCAAUUUAUAUUUACGAAAUAAAACGAGCUGGUAUCACUGAUUCGCCAUCCGAUGAAAAUGUAUCAAGGAACUAUUAGAUAGAGUCCAAAUACGUAAGUUAUCAACCAAAUUUCUUCUUGCUAUUAAAGAUUUCAUAAAAACCAUAUUUAAAGAACAUUAAUUAAUCUGUGUAAAUUGAUACCAUAUUGAGGGCUGGAAAAUGAGGGAAACUCCAUAUCUAUAAACCUUUGAAAUGGUGUGAUAGUUGGAAAUAAUUUGUGAUGUGUAGAUCAUUUAGCGCCGCUCUAAAUGUUCAUGCAGAUUAUAGUUAUGAUCACAGAACAUACCAAAAAAAAGGUGAACUUGUAUAUAAAUAUAGGCAACACAAAUUUAGUUCUGCCACCUACCAAUCGUGACGCUAGUGUAAUAAAAAUAUGUCAUUACUGUCAAUAUCAAUAUGUUAUUCAUCAGUAAAUAUAUUAUCAUUUCAUGAAAUUGGAAGAUAACAAGGGUUAAUGGAAUGGCCAGCAUCAUCAUCUAUUCAUGUCUUAUAGAAAUAUUUUGAUGGAAUCACACAUUCGUGGGUAUUAUGAAGAAAACAUGACUAAAUCAAAAGCUACCUUUAUAUUUUAUUUAUAUUUUUUUCAACCUCACAUUGCUCACAGAUAUUAAUCAAGCAAUUUUUUAAGUUAUAUUGUUAAGUUUCUGUAAAUAUAUUAUUUAUAAUAAAGUUUAAGGCAAAUGCUUAUUUUGAUAAAAAAAAACAUUUUCAAUUUUCUGUUACCUAAUAAAUUAUUUUCAGGAUA